Long non-coding RNA from Populus euphratica (Euphrates poplar), 5000 nucleotides. RefSeq lists it as uncharacterized. The transcript has 2 exons. NCBI's taxonomy places the organism in Eukaryota, Viridiplantae, Streptophyta, Magnoliopsida, Malpighiales, Salicaceae. The record is from RefSeq and is a predicted model, not a curated record.
AUCAACAUCACACACCGUGAUGGCUCUUGCUAAAAUUCCUUUUUUAAAAAAUCCAAAUGCUCUUAAAAGUAGAAAAUACACGGGCGUGUGAGGGUGUUGUAGGCAACCUAGCUAGCAUGUCUCCUCGCACCGUGAGGGGCAAACUCCACGCAGGGAUGAACGUGAAUUGGUAGGGAGGGCAACUCACGAUUAGGCCUAACUUACUUGCGAAGCCCAUGCUGCAUUUAAUAAAGACACCUUUUUAUCCAAGCACAUGUGAUUGCCUAAAUGCUAUGCAAUCCAGCAAAUAAAUAUAUUGGGAGACACGACCUUGAUACAAUCUCAGGCACGAAUACAAGACAAAAUAUUAUUAGGUAUGGAGCAUGACACGAUUGUUAGGUAAGAUAUGGACUUGUUUCAUUUAUUCUCGUCCUAUUCUAGCUUGCUUGCCCGCCCGCCCGCCCAAUUCUUCCCCUUUCUCUCACCCUUUAUCUUUCCUUGUAAUUUGUGCUUCUGUUCCGACUGUGAAGACUCGUCACUAGUUGUCAUCCCCCAACUUUGCCCUAAAUUCAAGUGCUGCCAAAUCGAUAACAACGUCAUUAUAUGCUCUGAUUGUCAAGGAUUUCGCCCCAAAUGGGACCUUCCCUUGAUUAUGAUUUAUGACGCUGAAUGUCAAAGCCUGGUGAAAUUUCUUUCCAAUCUAAUAAGUUCUAACCAAAUCGUAGCUUCGGUGUUGAAUGAACCCUAGUCCUGAAUCUUAGUGUUUGUUGUUUUUGCUUUUACUUUCCUUUCCGUUUGACAAGUUAAGAUCAACACAACGCAUAUUGUAUUCAAAGUUGGAUGUGGCUCGCCUUCUAAGGUUUGAAAGUGGCGAGGACGGGACCGAGUUAGGCAGGUUAGCCGGCUAUUAUCCUGGCCUUAAAACAAGACUAAACACCAACUGUCCAAUGUCCACUGCUGACCAACUGUCCAAUGUCCGCAUAAACAAAGUCUUUAGCAAGAAAUAUAUCAGCAUUGCCUUCGAUCUUAACUUGUCAAGAAAAUGCUGAAGAGAGAUAUCUAUUUAUCAGUCUGCCUUUUGAUCUCGACUCUGACCAGCAGUUGCAAGGACUAAACAUGGUGUUUGGGACCAAGAAAUACUCCUUCCUUGUAAACGAAUGCAAGGGUUCAUUUUCAAGGCAAAUACCCAUGGGAAUCGACACUAAAGAAUGGGCAGUAGUGGUACAACACUAGAGAUGGAUAGCUAGCGAACCAACCCAGCAAGGGUUCCAUGCUAACUUUUUGGAAAGUCAUGCUCAAAGCCCUGCAUAAAUGAAUAACAAACACAACAAAGGGCAGGCCAACAAGGUGCAUAUUCAAACCAAAUUAUCCAAUAUUUGCUCCGUGAUAGCUGUCUUCAAUCAUAUCAAAAAACUUCCAACUUUUAACAGCACACUCCUGCUCCCACAUUGAGAAAAAGGUUGAGCACUUCGUACUAACAUCGUUGUCACUUGUCACAGGCAAACCCUAUCUAAAAAGGACCCGACUUUUCAUCUGUCCUUGUUGGUAGGCAAGGAGUGUGAGUCACCUCACAAAUUGGGCAAGAACAUGUUGUGCACUGCAUUUACAGUAGGAAGCUUUAUGAAUAGAAAAAGAUUGGUUUAAUCACUUCCGUGUAAAAGAGAAGGGGGCUAUGAGGCCUAUGAGCCUGCCUGUUCUGUAAGACCCAAAACCUCUUUCUUCCUUUUCUUCAGUUUAUUCCUAGAUUAUACAGUACUGGUAUAACGAACCUUGGACUUGAAGUACUUGCUCCACUAAAAGAUCCUAUUGACUUACCUGCGACACCAUAACUUCCACUGUGAAUUUGUCAUGGGAAUUGGUAUAUGGGAGCAGACGGCUAACAAGAAUAUCUUGUACAAUAUUCACCAUCCAUCUCACGAGUAGAAAUUUGGAGACAAGUUUAUCUCACUAACCGACUCAAUCCAACCUCUCCAUCCCAAAAUUUGUGGCGGACUAAACUGCUAGGGUUCGACAACGAAAUUAAAUUCGGGAAGGGGAAGGAAAACAUAGUCGUUAAUGCUCUCUCUAGAAUACCCAGGAAUGAGCUCAAUGCACUAGGUUUAUUCAUAGUUUUCACUUGCUUUCAGACAUCAAGUCAUGGGAAAGGUAUGCCAAGGCGGAGUCUAUUAUCCAGGACUGCUUGCUACACAUCCUCAUUAUAAGUGAGUUAGGUUCAUUUUAUCAGAAGGCGCAAACUGGUGGUGGAUAAUAAUCUUGUGCUGUAAAACAUGUUAAUAGCCAUCUAUCAUGAUAUUGCUUUAAGGGGUCACUCAGGUUCUACAGUCACGGCUAAAAAAGAUUGGUAAUGUAUUUUAUUGGAAGAAACAACAAAAACAGGUGAGGCAAUUAGCAAACAGAAAGAGAAGUGAAAGUUUUUGAAGUAGAAGACUUGGUCUAUAGCCCUCCAAGCAAAAGUCAGUACCACAGCACAACCAACACAAGUUAGCAGCUGAGUAUGAUGGUCCAUAUACAAUUAUCGAGAAGAUUAGAGAAGUUUCUUACUAGUUAAAUCUUCCUUCCUCAUCGACAAUCCACCCUGUCUUCCAUGUCUCCCAAUUGAAGAGGAACCUGGGAAACAAAAUGUUGCACACUAAAUUGCCCGAUUGGCCCCUUAGGCAAUCUUGGAUCGAAGACCAGUCAGAGGGGGUCAACAGGCUGCAACUCAAAUCUUAGUCCAUUGGCAAGGGUUGUAUCUCCCUCUGAGGCAACAUGGGAAUUCAUGGAUGAAGUGAAACUCAGAUUUCUAUCAUUCAACCUCGAGGCAAAGGUGUUUCUGAAAGGGAGAGAAUUGUUGCAGGUGAAUUUGGCUAAUGAGGAUUGCCAACGAGAAGAAAACAAGCCGAAGGGAAUAUUUGAAAAGAAAUGACCGUUGCUAAGUGAAUAGUUAAUCGCAACGCACCGUAUCAGCCCAAUCCUUCCUUCUAUUUAUGCGCACUGUUUCAAUAACAAGUGUAAAUUACCUGUACUGAGAAGAAUGCUAAAUUAACAUUCAAUUAUUCUGAUUAAUUGCUUUAUAUAUGCUAUCAGUUGUAACAAAAUGAAUAUCGACAAAAACAAAAAAAAUAAGAACAAGAAUUAAUCCAGUUAUGGGUUCUUCUCCUCCUUCCUCUCCCUACCUCUCUCCAACUUCUCUGGCAUCUUCUUCCUUUCUCUCUUAACUUAGCUAACCAAACACGAGCACAAUCACUCCACUAGAUAUUCAACCCAGAUAGGAUAUUUCUUAAUUGUGUUUUCUCCAAGAGAGAGAAAUUUUACAUGUGCUUCAACAGAUUCUAGUAAGUAAUUGUGUUGUCGAAAUCUGCUCUUCCUUUUUUCUAUUUCGAUUGGAGUUGAGGGCAAAAGUUCCUUGAUUUCUUUACAUCUGUGGUUUUCUGCAGCCGCUAGCUAGUGUCCAUCAUCAAUCAUUGUGUUAACCUAUUAGCACCAAUUAUUCAGUCCUUUCUCAUGUUCACCGGCAAAAAUCAGCGCAUUCAUACAGUACCCCCCAUGUGGCAUGAUCAAUCCAACUACAUGCCAAAAGUUCAGUCCCCUGUUAAAAUAUAGGAGAGGUCUCUCCCUUAUCACCAGAGGAACAUCAUGACAAAUUCACGAGUUAAGGAAAAUUAGUGACCUAGUCAUGUUCAUUAAUUAAACAAUGACACUUAACUGACACCUUGGAAACUAGAGUUUAAGAAACGUAUUCAAAAUCCAAGAUUUUUUCAGCGACAAUGCCGUAACUACGAUAAAAGUCGCAACAACCUGAUCCAUGUGAUGUGAAUAUGCCGAUUAUUGAAUUAUUGCUCGAAUCAUUGCAAGGAUGAUCUUUCUAACAUUCCAAAUUGCUCUCAUCUCAUACUGUAAUGACAGAUUUGAUUGAACAAUUCAAUCAAAUCUGUCAUUCCUUAGCAAAGAUCAGCCCAGAUCACCUUUGUGCUUGCAGUUCAAAAGAUAGAGCUCGCAUGCAAUCUUAAUCAGAAUAGCAACUUUCACAUCCUGAAGUUUCUUAUAUCCUGCUGUUAAAACCCUUAAAUGGUGGCCAACACUCGCAUAGAAUCACAGCCGCCCAACAUUCCCAGCCUUGGAAAGGUCGUCUCCACAACAUCACAUGAACUCUGAGUCUCAUAUCAACCAGCUCAUUUCGGGUGUCAUAGUCAUCCAAACAAAGCGCUCUCCCUGUCAGCAGAGUCAUUUAUUUACCAACAAAACCUCCAAAGCAAUAGCUUCUUGGCAGCACCUGCAUUCGGCUUACUACUUGUAGAACGCUUUCCAUAACCUAGAAAUCCGUAAGUAAAACCCCAGAAGAAAGCAAGAACAAGAGCUCAGCUAGGGAUCCAUCAUUGUUUCUUCUCCUAUAAUCUGCCGUCUGAAACCAUGAUAGAUUCAGGGACCUGCAACCACACGACAAGCACGUUCUGUAGAGCUACAUCGUAUUCACCUCCAACCAGUUCACUUGAACUAUAUGUUUGCAUAAAAGUCGCCAUUCAAAUUGAGGAAACAAUAAACAAUAUCUGACCAAGAAGUUCACUGAGAAAAAGAACCACGAAGAAAAAAACUACAAAAUCAGUCAUGUCGACUACAAUAACACGGAAAACUUCACUGCAAUACCCAUGUCUGUAUUUAGGAAACUCAAGGAGGAUUCUCUCUAAUCAACCAAUUUGAAUUGUGUUACAGCUCAUAAAAUUGCCACUAACCAUAAGAAAUUAGUUAGUUCAAAGCAAGCACAACCUAACCAAAAAACUUGCUCUGGCACACUGCACUAACCCUAAGUCUCAUCAUAUCCUAUCCAAGCAAUACAGCGAAGAAUUAAGAUACGAAAAAACCAAAUAACACGGCCUUGCUUUCUAUUUCUAAGAACACAAUCAACCAACCAAACAAACUAAAAGUCAAAAUUCCCCUGGUAAAUUUCCUCCAAAACAAACAUCAUCACUAAUCACCUAUCCCAUCACAAUACGGCAACCCCCCCCCCCCCCAACUCCCUAACCAUGCUAGUAGUAAAAUAACUC